UACGAAGGGGGCGAGCGUUGUUCGGAAUCACUGGGCGUAAAGCGUGCGUAGGCGGCUCUAAAAGUUAGGAGUGAAAGCCCCAGGCUCAACUUGGGAAUUGCUCUUAAUACUGUAGGGCUCGAAUUCGGGAGAGGAUAGCGGAAUUGUCAGUGUAGCAGUGAAAUGCGUAGAUAUUGACAGGAACACCGGUGGCGUAAGCGGCUAUCUGGACCGACAUUGACGCUGAGGCACGAAAGCGUGGGGAUCAAACAGG
Molecule: ribosomal RNA, 253 nt
Filed under: uncultured bacterium
Lineage: Bacteria
Description: partial 16S ribosomal RNA
Rfam family: Bacterial small subunit ribosomal RNA
Source: RNAcentral